Molecule: ribosomal RNA, 254 nt
Filed under: uncultured bacterium
Lineage: Bacteria
Description: partial 16S ribosomal RNA
Rfam family: Bacterial small subunit ribosomal RNA
Source: RNAcentral
UACAGAGGUCCCGAGCGUUGUUCGGAAUUACUGGGCGUAAAGGGCGCGUAGGCGGCCUGUUAAGUCGAACGUGAAAUCUCCACGCUCAACGUGGAGGGGCCACUCGAUACUGCCAUGACUCGAGUCCGGUAGAGGAGUGUGGAAUUCCCGGUGUAGCGGUGAAAUGCGCAGAUAUCGGGAGGAACACCCGUAGCGAAGGCGGCACUCUGGGCCGGAACUGACGCUGAGGAGCGAAAGCGUGGGGAGCAAACAGG